Molecule: ribosomal RNA, 1785 nt
Filed under: Triticum aestivum (bread wheat)
Lineage: Eukaryota; Viridiplantae; Streptophyta; Magnoliopsida; Poales; Poaceae
Description: partial small subunit ribosomal RNA
Source: RNAcentral
AUGCAACCAGGAAUACUGCACCGUCUCGGCUCACAGGAAUCGUCGUUCGUCCUCGUCUCCUCCGAUCAAGUGGCUCUGCCAGUGCCAGGCAGCAUGGCCAUGCCUCGCCGUCUUGAUCAGCUGCUCCUCCGCCUCAUGGCCAGCUGCUUCCUGCUUCAGGCUCUCAGCGUCCAUGCCAUCACCCGACACUACAAGUUCAAUGUGGUUAUGAGGAACAUGACACUGCUUUGCUCAACCAAGUCCAUCCUCACUGUUAACGGCAAGUUCCCGGGGCCGACCCUCUAUGCAAGAGAAGGCGAUGACGUUCUUGUCAAGGUCGUCAAUCAUUCACCUCACAACGUUACCAUCCACUGGCACGGGGUAAGGCAAAUCCGGACUGGGUGGUACGAUGGACCAGCCUACAUUACACAGUGCCCAAUCCAGCCAGGGAGCAGCUUUCUGUAUAAUUUCACCGUUACUGGCCAACGUGGUACGCUCCUAUGGCAUGCCCAUAUCAACUGGCUGCGGGCUACCGUUCAUGGUGCUAUUGUCAUACUGCCCAAGCUUGGAGUACCCUACCCCUUUCCUGCUCCUCACAAGGAGGCAGUUGUUGUCCUAGGUGAAUGGUGGAAAGCUGAUACAGAGACUGUAAUCAACCAGGCCAUGCAACUAGGAGUAGGACCCAAUAUUUCUGAUUCCCACACCAUCAAUGGCCACCCUGGUCCGAUGUCUGAUUGUGCCUCCUCCCAAGAUGGAUUCAAUCUCGAUGUCGAAAAUGGCAAGACAUACAUGCUCCGGAUCAUCAACGCUGGUCUGAAUGACGACCUAUUCUUCAAGAUUGCCGGGCACGGACUAACUGUGGUUGAGGUUGAUGCAGUCUAUACCAAGCCAUAUAAAACCGAUAUCCUGCUCAUCACUCCAGGCCAGACCACCAACGUCCUCGUCACUACUGACCAAAGUGCUGGCCGUUACCUUCUCUCAGUCUCUCCCUUCCUGGAUGCUCCACUACAAGUUGACAACAAAACAGGCACUGCUACCUUGCAGUACGCUAACACUGUCUCUGCCACAGCGCGCCUCACUCUCGUCAAGCCACCACCACAGAAUGCCACCCCUAUUGCAUCAAAAUUCUCUGAGUCGCUCCGAAGCCUCAACUCCAAGGAGUACCCAGCCAAUGUGCCACAGACAGUAGAACACUCGCUUUUCUUUACCAUCGGUGUGGGUGUCAAUCCAUGCGCAAACUGCAUUAAUGGGACCAGAGUGGUGGGCACAAUCAACAAUUCAACAUUCGUUAUGCCAUCCACCCCAAUUCUCCAAGCCCGUUACUACAGCAUUCCAGGGGUCUUCACCGAAGACUUCCCAGCAACACCACCACACAAGUUCAACUACACAGGAAGCGGCCCCAAAAACCUUCAAACCAUGAAAGGAACCAGGGUUCAUAGGCUGCCAUAUAAUGCUUCAGUGCAGGUCAUACUCCAGGAUACAGGGAUCAUAUCAACAGAAAGCCACCCGAUCCAUCUGCAUGGAUUUAACUUUUUUGUCGUCGGGAGGGGUGUUGGGAAUUACAACCCCAAAGCCUCCCCUUCCACAUUUAACCUCAUCGACCCCGUUGAGAGAAACACCAUUGGAGUUCCUACUGGAGGCUGGACAGCAAUCAGGUUCAGGGCAGACAACCCAGGUGUGUGGUUUAUGCAUUGCCAUUUCGAGGUGCACACUUCAUGGGGACUCAAGAUGGUCUUUGUGGUGGAUAAUGGGAAAAGACCUAGCGAGACUCUAAUUCCACCACCUAAAGAUCUUCCCCAGUGCUGA